Long non-coding RNA from Panthera uncia (snow leopard), 681 nucleotides. RefSeq lists it as uncharacterized. The transcript is spliced from 3 exons. The record is from RefSeq and is a predicted model, not a curated record. NCBI's taxonomy places the organism in Eukaryota, Metazoa, Chordata, Mammalia, Carnivora, Felidae.
AAGGUGUCCUCUUUCUGCUCAUGUGGAAAUUGCCUGGGAAGCUAGUAAGCUGUUGGCUCUGAAGGCAGUUGGCUGUCCUGAGUUUUCGAGUCCCUUGGAAGGAUUCUGGGGAGUUGGCCGAUUGGCUGCAGACCCGAGCUCAUCUGACGAUGUGAACGGCCUCCUGAGACCUGCAGGCAUGUGAUGACAUCAGUCCUUGUCCCCCUAGCUGGUCCACUUUAGCUCAUGGGAUCCUCUGACGACCUCCCUGGAAGGAGACGCUCCCUUACAGAUGGGGAAGCUGGGCCUUUUGGCUGAAGUCAUUGAUUCCUGAGGUCACAUGGCUGUAGGGCAGAAGGCGGCAGGACAGACACCGAUGGCGGCCCCCCUGUUCCGGGUGCUCGCUGUUGAGCCCGUUUGACCUGCUGACCUCGUGUAACACACGAGGAAAUGGAAGUCCUCUGAGGCGAAACAACACCCAGGCGCCAGGUGAGUGCACAGAGCAGGGUUCGAAGCCAGGUCCUGUCCCCGCCACCCCAGGGGAGAGCUGACCCCACAAAGCGGUGGCUCCUGGCCUCUCCCUCUGCCGGAUGUUUCCCCUCUUCUUCCCUUUGCUCCGUGAUUAUGUGGCUCUGCUCCUGCCAGAUCCAGACUUGCUGGUAAGACCACUUCUGAAGAGGUUUAGACAGUGACUGCAUUUCG